RNAcentral lists this ribosomal RNA (392 nucleotides) under uncultured bacterium. RNAcentral's name for it is "partial 16S ribosomal RNA". It matches the Rfam family "Bacterial small subunit ribosomal RNA", at positions 523 to 918 of the family's 1533-position model. The record is from RNAcentral.
AUACGGAGGAUCCGAGCGUUAUCCGGAUUUAUUGGGUUUAAAGGGUGCGCAGGCGGCCAUUUAAGUCAGCGGUUAAAUCGUGAGGCUCAACCCCAUUCUGCCGUUGAUACUGGGUGGCUUGAUUGCGGUCGAGGUUGGCGGAAUUCGUUGUGUAGCGGUGAAAUGCAUAGAUAUGACGAAGAACACCGAUUGCGUAGGCAGCUGACCAGACCGCAAAUGACGCUCAUGCACGAAAGUGCGGGGAUCGAACAGGAUUAGAUACCCUGGUAGUCCGCACAGUAAACGAUGAAUACUUGUUUUCGGCGAUAUAAUGUCGGAGGCAAAGCGAAAGCGAUAAGUAUUCCACCUGGGGAGUACGCCGGCAACGGUGAAACUCAAAUGAAUUGGCGGGG